RNAcentral lists this ribosomal RNA (443 nucleotides) under uncultured bacterium. RNAcentral's name for it is "partial 16S ribosomal RNA". It matches the Rfam family "Bacterial small subunit ribosomal RNA", at positions 338 to 795 of the family's 1533-position model. The record is from RNAcentral.
CCUACGGGUGGCAGCAGUGGGGAAUAUUGGGCAAUGGGCGCAAGCCUGACCCAGCAACGCCGCGUGAAGGACGAAGGCUUUCGGGUUGUAAACUUCUUUUCUGAGGGACGACGACAGUGACGGUACCUCAGGAAUAAGCCACGGCUAACUACGUGCCAGCAGCCGCGGUAAUACGUAGUUGGCAAGCGUUAUCCGGAUUUAUUGUGUGUAAAGGGCGUGUAGGCGGGAAAGCAAGUCAGAUGUGAAAACUCAGGGCUCAACCCUGAGCCUGCAUUUGAAACUGUUUUUCUUGAGUGCUGGAGAGGCAAUCGGAAUUCCGUGUGUAGCGGUGAAAUGCGUAGAUAUACGGAGGAACACCAGUGGCGAAGGCGGAUUGAUGGACAGUAACUGACGCUGAGGCGCGAAAGCGUGGGGAGCAAACAGGAUUAGAGACCCUUGUAGUC